Molecule: long non-coding RNA, 253 nt
Filed under: Brassica napus (rape)
Lineage: Eukaryota; Viridiplantae; Streptophyta; Magnoliopsida; Brassicales; Brassicaceae
Description: long non-coding RNA (BNAP_LNC008462)
Source: RNAcentral
AGCCACCUUCUUUUCUCUCCUCUGAUUCUUCUACUUAGUUCUUUUAUUUUGGACGUUGCUAAAAAUAAGAGUUCUGCGCGGAUCCGAUGAUCUUCACUGGUAAAGUAACAUUUUUAGUGCCGAGAUCAUUUUAUAUGUUUAUUUGAUCUAUUAGUUCAUGAUAUUACUUUUAUUUUUGGUUUCUCGGUUUUGUGGAGCUAACUAGCUAGUGAUGAAAAUCAGAUGAGACGGGUUUUGUAUUGUGAUGUAAGCU